Molecule: ribosomal RNA, 253 nt
Filed under: uncultured bacterium
Lineage: Bacteria
Description: partial 16S ribosomal RNA
Rfam family: Bacterial small subunit ribosomal RNA
Source: RNAcentral
UACGUAGGUGGCAAGCGUUGUCCGGAAUCACUGGGCGUAAAGCGCACGUAGGCGGAUGUGUAAGUCAGGGGUGAAAUCCCGGAGCUCAACUUCGGAACUGCCUUUGAUACAGCACAUCUGGAGUCCGGAAGAGGUGGGUGGAAUUCCUAGUGUAGAGGUGAAAUUCGUAGAUAUUAGGAAGAACACCAGUGGCGAAGGCGGCUCACUGGCCCGGUACUGACGCUGAGGCGCGAAAGCGUGGGGAGCAAACAGG